AAGAAAUUAUAUUUUUUACAGGGAUCAAUGAGUUCUGUUUUGAGCAUGUUGCUUUUAAAAGGUCCAUGGAAUAUUCAUGCAUUCUAUUAUAUCCCACUUUCCUUCCAGAGAUCCAGAUAGACAACCAGACUGAUGAUUCUGCUCCAAAAGCUUGGAUUGCCUUUGAAAGGGGAAAGAAAUAUUCAUGGUGCCCAUUUAGUGUUUCUCUUUGGGAUAGAAGAAGCUAGUUAAAAAAAGUCACUGUUCUCUGAAGAUGAACCCCAGUCUUCCCUAUUCCCAAGAUCUAGACAUAAGGCAAAUUCUAAUGUCCUCAAGGAAAACUCUGGGAAGGAGAAGAAUGAACCAGAGAUCUUCAUGAAGCUCAGAAGACUGAACCUGAUGCAGGUAAACUCAGAACUUCAGUUCUGGGUUAUUAGGUACACAGCUUUAC
RNAcentral lists this long non-coding RNA (430 nucleotides) under Sarcophilus harrisii (Tasmanian devil). RNAcentral describes it as "lncRNA (ENSSHAG00000026878.1)". Lineage: Eukaryota; Metazoa; Chordata; Mammalia; Dasyuromorphia; Dasyuridae. The record is from RNAcentral.